CCGGAAAUUACGUAAUGUACGCAAACUGGAACCCACGCAGAUGAAGGAAAUCACUAAUCGAACAAGAUAUUUAUGCAGCACAACACAUGGGAAUUCUCAGAGACAUUGACAAAGACUGAAUUGUCGAAACGCGUCUGUUCUCUUCUACUAUAUCCAGAAGUAUUUUUCGCCCUUGUUUUCAUUUUAACUUUUAGUGUUUUAUCACCAUAAUAAAUCUUUGUAUUUUUUAUAUGCUGCUGCUGCAAUCCUUACUUCCAUGAUCCAUCUGCUACAGUGGUCCAUGGGUAUUCACCGUUGGCCUGCACAGGCACCAUUGGGCUUACUAUACAGAGCCUGACACGGCUCUGGAAUUUGUGAGUGUAACCAUUUAUUAUACAUCAUUCACCUUUAUCCUACAGUACACACUAUGUAUUCUAUUGUUCUGUUUUAGGCACUGCUGAUAUUCGCCUGCCAUCUCCUGACACCAUUCAUUAUAUACUUGUAUUGCUUUUGAAGGGUGCACUUUCACUUUGUGUUUUGCACAUUGUUGUUGUUUUUUAAUCAAAAGGUUUAAAUCACAUUUGUUGUUUGUUACUGUUGUGACUCCAUAUCAAUAUGCAAGCAAACCGCUGCAAGAGAGGAAAAAUAAUAUGAUAUCAAAUGGUGAUGUCACAAUGAGGUAAAAAAAAAUUUGUUUUUUGUUCUUCUUUUCAUUCUUCUAACACUAAAUUCUAACUUAUAUAUGAGCCGAAAGCUAGGUUACUCUCUCAUUGUCUAACACAAAUCUGAAAAUACAUCCAUUUCAUUUCUAUGAUAUAAACCUAGCCUGUAAGGAUCACAUUUUUCAAGUAGUACAAUCCACAGAGGUGCACAUCAAUUCAUUCACCAAUUAAAGAAAGGAAAAACCUAUAACGGUGGUAGGCAACCUUUUGCUCUCCAGAUGUUGUGGACUAUAUCUCCCAUAAUGCCCUUACAGCCAUAAUUUAGGCAAAAAAUCAGGAGAGUUGCAGUCCACAACAUUUGGUGUGCUGAAGGUUGGGUACCCCUUGCCUGUAAUAUCAAUAGGAAAAAUACUAGCACUACAAACCUAUUAAGGAUUUAUUGAAGAAACAAUCGAUUCACUAUCCAUAAUAUAUAUAUACUAGACAUGUGCUAUUUGUUUAGUUCUGAAUGUAUAUUCAGAAGAAUUUCGUGAAAUUUGGACAUUUGGAUGCUUACGAAGUGCCGAAGUUCCAUAUUGCCGAAGAUCCGAAGUGCUUCAGAUUUCUGAAAAGUGGCAAAACAAAAGAGAGGGAGUGAAAAUUACGUGAAUGAUGACAGGAAUCGUGAGCAAUAAGUUAAUUCCUGGCGCUGGGAGCCCAAAAGAUGUGUAAGUGGUUGUGGUGGCAGUCCGGGCACUGGGAACCCAAUAGAUGUGUAAGUGGUUGUGGUGGCAAUCCUGGCACUGGGAGCCCUGCAGAUGUGUAAGUGGUUGUGGUGGCAAUCCUGGCACUGGGAGCCCUGCAGAUGUGUAAGUUGUUGUGGUGGCAGUGAGGGUACUGGGAGCCCUACAGAUGUGUAAGUGGUUGUGGUGGCAGUCCGGGCACUGGGAGCCCCCUGCCCAUUACUCCCGGACUGCCACCACAACCACUUACACAUGUAUAGGACUCCUGCCUCCCAGUGCCCGGACUGUCACAACAACCACUUACAUAUCUAUAAGGCUCCCGCCUCCCAGUGCCAAGACUGCCACCACAACCACUUACACAUCUAUAGGGCUCCCACAACCACCUACCCAUCUAUAAGGCUCCCGCCUCCCAGUGCCCGGAUGGCCACCACAACAACUUACACAUCUAUAGGGCUCCUGCCUACCAGUGCCAGGACUGCCACCACAAGUUCUGAAGUGCCAAAACAAACCGAAUGCCAUUGGUCCGAAUUGCCAAAGCAGACACAUUUUUUUAUUGACCUAAAUUUUUCUGAACCAAGCCAAAUUUUUUGCACAUGCACAUCCAUAAUAUAUACAUAUUAUUGGAUGCAAAACAAAAUAUAUCACAAAAACACCUUUUAUGUCUGCCCCAGUGGCGGAUCCAGAUCCAUGCACAAUAACCACUACAGCUCUGUGUAGGCACAUUGCAGGGCUGGUGCUUGGACAGUGCCAGCCCUGCAUUAGCCAGCAGGGGAGUGCCUCGGCAGGGAGGGGGGCAAUUUCCCCCACUCUGGAUCUGCCAGUGGUCUGCCCCAGCUACUUUUCAUCCAGUUGAGGAAACAUAUCUCAGCUAAAGCUAUCGUCAGACAACCUGCCUUAUGUCAAGAUAUUUGAGAGAGAUUUAUCAAUUACCUUUAUCAACCACUUUUAUGUUUUUGCACCAGUUCUUAAAACUUGCACAUAGACUUAAAAGGGAGGAGUAAAUAAUGCAAUGUGACUAUUCAUUUAACUGGUUUCCAUAGUGAUAUAUUAUAUAUAACACCACUUUUUAGAACAGAACACUUUGAUGUGUCUCAUCUAGGCUCCUUCUUUCUCCCAUGUAAUACUUGAGGACCUAAUUCUUGGGGACUUCAACAUUCCCAUUAAUCUACCCCUGGCCUCAGUAGCCUCAAAAGUACUUUAAAUGACCUCCUCUCUUCAGCUAUCGCAGUGGGCUAAGUCCCCUAUCCAUGUAGCUGGAAAUACCCUUGAUCUUAUUUUCUUUCAUGAAUGUACAAUCUCUAAUCUCUGCAACACCCCAUUUCUUCUCUCAGAUAACCACCUCUUAACAUUUGCUUUCAAUAGCCCCUUACCCCAUCAUCUUCAACCUAACCCCUUCAACUAAGAAUAAAUCUGAAUUAUAUUGACCUCCAACAGCUAUCAGCUAAUAUUGAUUCCCAACUUCUAUCCAUCCCUACUUUCUCCUAUCCCUCACUGGCUAUCUCCUCACAUAACACUACCCUCACCUCUGCCCUGGACGCUGCAGCCCCACUCCAAACAUGCACCUUGAGGAGAACACGCCUCCACCAUGGCACACUAAAUCAAAACGCUACCUGCAGAGUUGCUCCCAUUCUGCUGAACGCUGCUGGAAGUCUCGCACCCAGUCGGACUUCUUCCACUACAAAUUCAUGUUGCAUUUACCCUUGCCCUUGCCAUACUUUUCGUCCCUCAUUAGCCCAUGCUCCUGCAAUCGCAGGCAUCUUUUUAAUACCUUUAACUCCCUUCUUUGCCCUGCUGUUGCCAUCCCCCAAACUAACCUUACAGCUGAUAGCUUUACAUGCUACUUUACCGACAAGAUUGAACAGAUAAGGAAAUAAUUCUCACCACCUUGCCCUUCCAUUUCUCAACCACACCUGGAUCAUGCCAUUCUUACCCUUCAGACUUUCUCCCAGGCUACUGAACAAGAGAUGGCUGCACUUCUCCUUUCCUCUCGCCCCACCACUUGCCUACUUGAUUCUGUCCUGUCUCUCCUCUUGUCUUGUGCCUUCCAUAACACACAUCUUCAACCUCUGCAUACAUCUGCUUUCUCUCUUCUGGUGUUGUCCCUGUUGCCCUUAAACAUGCUACUGUAGUACCCAUCUUAAAGAAAACAUCUCUUGACCCAUCCUUCCCUUCUAACUAUUGUCACAUAUCCUUGCUCCCUUUUUCCUCAAGGCUUCUGGAAAGACUGGUCUUUACCCAUCUGACUUGUUUCCUCAAUUCCAACUCUCUCCUUGACCCUCUUCAGUCUGGCGUCUGCCCCCUUCACUCUACUGAGACUGCUCUUAAAGUCACUAAUGACCUAAUCACAGCUAAAUCCAAAGUGCACUACUUCAUACUAAUUCUUCUUGACCUCUCUGCUGCCUUUGACACUGUUGACCAUGUUCUCCUACUCCAAACUCUUCAAUCACUUGGUCUCUGUGACACUGUCCUCUCUUGGUUUUCCUCCUAUCUCUCCUAACACUCAUUCAGUGUCUACUUUUCUAAUGAUACCUCCUCCCUUUGUCCUGUCUUGGUUCGAGUCCCCCAAGGCUCAGUUCUUGGUCCCCUUCUAUUUUCUCUUUAUACUCCCUCUCUUGGCAAAUUUAUUACCUCAUUUGGAUUCCAAUACCACCUGUACGCUGAUGACACUCAGAUAUACCUCUCCUCCCCGGACCACUUCCUUGCCGUCCUGCAACGUGUCACUACUUGCCUUUCUUCCAUCUCUGACUGGAUGUCCUCAUUAUUAUUGAAACUCAAUCUCUCUAAAACUGAACUCCUUGUCUUUCCUCAUCCUUCAAGUUAGUGGUACCCACAUCAGUCCAUCCUUGUGUAGCGUUACUUACCUUAACCGGGGGCCGGUCGCGGUCCUCUCUUCAAGCCGCGCGCGGUCCUGCGGCUGCACGAGCCGCGCGCGGCUCAUCCAACUACUUCGGCUGGAGGGCGGGCAGUGACCGCGUGAGGCGGUCACGUGUCCCGCCUGAAACUAAGAGCGCGCCGCGAGUCUCGGGCGCGCUCUUAAAGGGACAGUGGGUGCCUAAAUUGGAAAAGGCAUCCCAUUGGUCCCUGUCAUACCACACUCCCCAUACACUUACCUUUUGGGGGCGUGGAUAUGACAGGGACCAAUCAAAUUAGAUGUUUAGGUAUUUAUACUCACCUUCUUCCCUUUGUUCCUUGCCCUAUCGUGGUUUCUGUUUCAGUUCCCUUUAGCGCUUGUGGUGUUCAGUUGUGUUUUCUCGUAUUGACUUUGGCUUCGUAUUCUGACUUCGUUUUCGCUUUAUCCUUAUCUGUACUGUUUGCCGGCUUGCUGUUUUCCGUGUACCAGACCCCGGCUUGUCCUAGUUUACGCUGUCUCUCUGUGCCCUUGACCUCGGUUUGUUCCUGGCUCUGUCUUCUCUCAUAUACGUCGAGUCCGGCCAUUCUAAGGUCCGGUAGACGUAUCUCUCCUCUGUAUUUGCCUCUGUUUAGCUGGAUCCUGCGUGUAGGGGUAUAUUCUCGUUACAUUACGAUAGGGCCAUGGACCCCGCAGAUUUAGCUCAACAGAUGGCGUCCCAUGAGGCAAGAUUUGUAGAGCAGGAUCACCGUAUGGAUCAAAUAGCUCAGGCUCUCCAGACGCUCCUAGCUAGAACCGUUCCAGCAACUACACCUAACCCUCCUACGCCCCUUCUCCCUGAAGUAUCUACUUUGCCUAAUACUUCGGCCCAUUUAACACCUCCUCCUAGGUAUGGAGGGGACUCUAAGACUUGCAGAGGGUUUAUUAAUCAGAUUGAAUUUCACUUUGAAAUGUAUCCACGUUCAUUUCCCACAGAGAAGUCUAAGGUUGGGUUCUUUAUGCACCAACUUACCGAUAAGGCACUUGAGUGGGCAAAUCCUAUUUGGGAAGCUAAUGGGCCUAUGGUACAUGAUUUCAACAGUUUUCUUACGGCUUUUCGUAGAACUUUUGACACAAUGAAAAGGUCAAAGAAUGCCGCAAGAGCAUUAAUGAGAAUUAAACAGGGUUCUAGGUCUGUGGCUGAUUAUGCUAUUCAGUUUCGCACUCUUGCUUCGCAGGUAGAUUGGACCAACAAUGGGUUAACUACUGCCUUUAUGGAAGGUUUGUCAGAUACGAUAUUGGAUGAGGUAGCAGCUAAGGAGCUUCCUAUUGCCUUAGAGGACCUUAUCGAUUACCUCAUUGAUAUUGAUAAUAGAAUUCGUGACAGGCUCUAUACCAAGAACAGGAAUAGACGUUUUGUUACACCCAUUAACCCCAGAGUUAAUAUACCAGAGAGUGUUAAAGUGUCUGAGGAGGAACCUAUGCAAUUAGGGGUUGCCAAACUCUCUGAUACUGAGAAAUUACAUAGGAGAAGGGAGGGACUCUGCCUAUACUGUGGUAGGAGAGACCAUAUGGUAAAGGAAUGUCCUUUACUCCCGGAAAACUCUCGCACCUAAGACCUUAUAGGGGACUGGCCUUGGGUGUGAUAUCUAAGUCUCCUAAAUUGCCUCCUAACCGCUUGCUUCUCCCGGUUUCUUUAUAUAUGGGAGAGAUUUGUAUAGUUGACAACAUAUAUGCUCUGGUUGACUCUGGGGCAGCUGAAAAUUUUAUAGACUCUGGCUUUAUAAAGAGAAACAACAUUCCCAUCAGAGAGAAGGAGAUACCCUUGGCCGUUGAGGCCAUAGAUGGUAGACCAUUAAGUUCUCCAGUUGUUACUCAUGAGACUGAACCACUACACAUGUACACAGGGGUUUUACACUACGAAACCAUUCGAUUCCAGGUUAUCACCUCUCCCUCUUCACAGUUAGUAUUAGGGUAUCCAUGGUUACGUGCUCACAAUCCCAUUUUUGACUGGGAGACAGGGCAAAUAAAAUCAUGGAGUAAGGCCUGCCACGAGUCUUGUACGUUGGAAGUCACACCUUUGAAUUCUAUUGAGGUACCUACCAGUCCUCCUUUGUCUAUGGUUAUACCCCCUCAGUAUUUAUCUCUAAAGACUGUUUUCGAUAAAAGGGAGGCUGAGAAAUUACCGCCUCACAGACCCUAUGAUUGCGCUAUUGACUUGUUGCCUGGCACUAUACCUCCAAAGGGCAGGGUGUACCCCUUAUCGGUUCAAGAAAACCGUGUCAUGGAGGAGUACAUCAAGGAAUCAUUAGAAAAAGGGUUUAUUAGGAGAUCCUCUUCUCCAGCUGGAGCAGGGUUCUUCUUUGUAUCGAAGAAAGAAGGUGAUUUAAGACCGUGUAUAGAUUAUAGAGGUCUAAACAAAAUCACUAUCAAAAAUGCAUACCCUAUACCUUUGAUUACAGAAUUAUUUGACAGGCUGAAACAUGCCACUGUGUUCACUAAAUUAGACCUUAGGAAUGCAUACAAUUUGAUACGUAUAAAGGAAAAUCACGAAUGGAAGACUGCAUUCAACACUAGAUCCGGUCAUUACGAAUACACUGUUAUGCCAUUUGGGCUUUGCAAUGCCCCAGCAGUAUUCCAAGAAUUUAUUAAUGAUGUAUUGAGAGAUUUUAUUCACACAUUUGUUAUCGUAUACUUGGACGACAUUUUAAUAUAUUCUGCAGAUAUACACACUCAUCACAGACAUGUUACGACAGUUUUGAAGACCCUUCUUGCUAAUGGUCUUUAUUGCAAGCUAGAAAAAUGUCUGUUUGACCAAACCGAAGUCCAGUUCUUGGGGUAUUUGAUUUCCGCUAAAGGUUUUCGUAUGGAUCCCCAGAAGCUAGCUGCUGUAAUAGAAUGGCCUCUACCGCAAGGUCUGAAAGCUAUUCAGCGUUUUCUUGGGUUCUCCAAUUAUUAUAGACGUUUUAUCAAAGGUUUCUCGUCCAUUGUAGCACCUAUUACCCGUAUGACUAAAAAGGAUGGCAAUACUCGUGUUUGGUCUACCGAGGCACUUCAGGCUUUUGAAUUUCUUAAAACUACGUUCGCCUCUGCACCUAUUUUACAGCAUCCUGUCCCCUCACUGCCCUAUAUUCUUGAAGUUGAUGCUUCGGAUAUUGGGGUAGGUGCUGUCUUGUCCCAAAGAGAGUCGCCUGAGAAGCCAUUGCAUCCAUGCGGCUUCUUUUCUAAACAAAUGUCCAAAGCAGAGAAAAAUUAUGAUGUGGGUAAUCGUGAACUCCUUGCUAUUAUUUUAGCACUUAAAGAGUGGAGACAUUUGUUAGAGGGAACUAAGGAUCCUAUCCUCAUUUUUACGGAUCACAAGAACCUAUCCUAUCUUAGCGAAGCCAAAAGAUUGUCUUCCAGGCAGGCUAGGUGGUCACUAUUUUUGUCUCGUUUCAAUUUUAUUAUCACCUAUAGGCCAGGUGAUCGCAACAGAUAAGGUGCAGGAGAGCAGAGAUAUAUUUUUGAAGAUUCUCCAAACCAGCCUCAGAUCUCUCGGUAAUAGGAACACCUCGAGUGGCUCUGAGCACAUAUUAUUGACUAUGUGCAGGCAGCCCAUAAACUAACCAGCAAGGUUGUUUUCCGAAACACACACUUGUCAAAAGAAUAUUCAAUUGCAAAAUGUUUUUUCAAAUGUGAAACACCAAUAGAACAUCACCUCCAAAAACAAAGUAUUGUAUUAAAAUAGACAAAAGAGGAGCAAACAUUGAACCAGAUCGGUCACAAAACUAAAAGGUCCAGGUUGGAUAAGGUGCCACCUAGUCUGGAAAGUUAAAUACAACCUAUGUUCUGCUGUGAUUGUUGUUAUCCUUUUCUGUAAUAUUUACUUUGUGUUAUUUUUUAUUUUUUUCUCUACCACUUUAAUUAUUGAUUGCUAGCUCACUUUAAGUGGCCCUUUCUCACCCUCUGAACUACAGUUCAGACUAUCCACAGGGAUGCUGUCCAGCUCUGAACCUAGUUGGGUUCCCCCACAGCUAUCUAAGGCAAUUCACACUAGCCGACAAGAGAGCACCCACAUAAGCAUAAUAUGGAGGGUAAUAAUCCCCCCCACCCACAUUUCCCAUGUCAGUACUAGAAUAUCAUCCGUUAUAGUAUGGGCGGGGGUACCCUCUCCAAGGGUUAGUAUUGAGCCCCAUGGAAUACAUCAGUUUAAUUUUACAUGUAUAUCCUACAUUUUGUAAAAAAAAAAAACCCUCUCUUCACUACUUAUAUUUAUAUUGUGAUACUACUGGUUAUGAUGUGCAUAUUGUAUCUAUCUCCUGCAAUGUUAUACUUGAUGUGACAGACCUCUCUGUCUUUGGAUUACUGUGAUUUAACCUUGGUUCGUCUGUUUGUUCGGUAAUUGCCACUUGUCCGUACGGCCCUACGUUUUAUUCCCCUAUAUACAAAAGAACUACCGAACGGCAGGCCACCCAGCAGGGAAGUGUGCUGCUUGUUAACCUUUCUGCCCUCAUUAACACUGUGGUCAACUGCAGACACUUCCAACUCCCAAAUGGUCACCUGGGUGGUCGUCGUUCGUAUGAUCAAACACGUGGCCAUCUUGGACAGUCGAAAGCCCAGCACUGUUCGUCAGCAAACCCGUGGAACUAAAAUCGGACACUAUUUCAUAUGAACACCGCUGAAGUCACCGACCCUUCCUCGUUCCGUUCCAGAUUGAUACGACCACUUCGGUACAUUGACUUUAUAUGAACAGAGCUGUCCCAGAUAGCCAUCCCAUGGAGCCCAUUCGUUUAGACAAACGCACUUUGUUCAAGACUUUAGCUCCAUGGAGAUUGAACUGUGUGUAUGAGAUCUGAGCGCUAUUCGGUUAUAUUGUGCGCUCAAAUCUAAGCUAUCUGGGAAUGUGGGGAUUCUGUUCGGUAGUUUUGGGAAUAUAUAUUUUUAUGUGUUUUUAUGCUCACUAUAAAAUGGAGGAUAUGCUCUAUCCCUGGAGGUAAUUGAGUUACUUCUAGCACUUAACCCAAUUACCUCCAGGAUAGAGAGGAGGGUUUGUAAUGUUCAUGUGUGAGUGUUUAUCGCUGUAUAUGUUUCUGAUUGGUUAAUGUAUAAACUUGUCCCAGUCUUCCACAAGGUCCCUAUGGGAGUGUCCCUUGGUGGAAGACCUGCAUAAAAGACGGGCAUGUAGCCCACAUUAAACAGAUCCUGCUUGACCCUCAAUACAGAGCCUCGUUUCGUACUUGGGGGGAUUUAUUUGUGUGUUUUCCUGUUCGGCGCUUAGGAGUGUUCGGUAGCUGACUUCAGGGAUGAAAAGAAGUUAAAAGUUCUCAAUGAUUAAUAUUCCAAAAGAUAGAACAACACAUGAUAAUAUACAGCAUAGUAGAUUUGUUGACUGUAUGUGAGCUUUAUGUAAACAUGAAGACAAAAACUGAAAAUGGAAGAGUCAUCAAUGCAAUGUGCCGACUGGUUCAACUGAUUUCCAUGGUGAUUGUCCCCAUUUUAGUAGAGUAUACCACUACAAUAUGUUGAAAACUGAUGAAAGAAUUGUAAAAUGUGAAGAAAAUUAGAUAACCUUGAAAAAUAGGCUAGAUUUUUUUUUUGCAAAUAAAACAUAAAUGCAUAUGUUUUAUAUAUGCAUUUUAAUAAUUUUCCACAAUUUUAGAGGUAUAUUAUUUUUAUGCACAUUUAAGAAGCAAUAUUAUAAUGUAUUCAUUAAUAUUGAUGCAAAUUGUGAUGUCUUUCUGUGUUAUAAACAUUUUAUUUGUUUAUCUUUUCUUCCUUUUAUUGGUACAUUUGAGAUUUUAUGAACUAUCUAUUUAAGAACUCUUGUUAUGAACAAUAAAGAUCAUGACAAUGGAACGCAUACGGUGCGUUCCACGGAGAAUGAGGAAGUAAAACAGCCAAAUUUUACGACCCAAGACGGUGGAAUGCAUAUGUGCGUUCCAACGAAGAAAAAGGAAGUCAAACAGCUGAACCACAUGAUUUACGCACGCACGUACGUGCGUUCCAACUAGCUCUGUGUGCGUUCCACAGAGCGAAUUUCCGUUCCGGCAGAUGCCGGCAAUUUUGUCAUUAGACGUAUAUAAAAGAACAAGAGGACAUACGACUAAUAUACCAACUGAGGAAGCCAGUCUACUGGCGAAACGCGUUUUGGAACUAUUUUAUGCAUUUUGAUCUACUUUGUUUUUAUAUACAUUUUAUAUUGAUAUUUUUAAUAUAAUAAAUUUUGUUUAUACCGUCCUUUGGAGUCUGCCAUUCCAUUCCUACUUGAAUUUAAGGUGGAAGACAUCAGGAGGAAAUAAAAAGAGGGUGGUGGAUCUCCCUUAGAAGAUCCUAAGGCGCUUACCACUAGAGCCAAGUGUGCUACUGGCUCUACCUUUGUGAGUUACCCAUCUACAAUUUAUCUUUUAUUUUUAUCUAUUUGUAACUACCAUCUGCACUAAGAUUUAUUGCUAUCUAUUUACAGAUCAUUUUUACAGCAUUUGUAUUUACCUUCAUUAUACUACUGUUUAUACAGGUAAUCCAGAGCUCCACUUAUACUUUGUUUAUUUGCAUGUUCUAUGUUGUGGAGGUCAAGGGAUUCCUUCACCUAAGUGUCAGAGCCUGUUUUCACUUUGCUGGGCUUGUGUGCACCGUUUUCAUUGUGUAUACAUAGAUUUUUUUUUUUCACUAUUCAGCUAUUUUGACCUAAAAUGCAUAAUUCUCUAUAGUUUACCGAAUAAGCCAAUUCCUUAAACAUAGUCAUAAAAAGGGAAUUUUACAACUUGAAUCAUAGUUAUUACUGCUGAAUUAGAGUUACUUACUGCAUGUAAGAAAAUGUUUUGCUUUUUGUUCUAUGCUAUUUGUGUGAACUCUUUGAAUACUGCAAGAAAAAUGACUUAAAAUAUCUAAUAUGUGUACCUGUCAAUAUUGAACAGGUUUCUUCCACUUCUGUUAGCUCCACAGAGAAGCUUUUGAAUUGUUAAGUCCCCGACACAGACAGAAAUGGGGAGGGUUUGCAAAGACAGCAGAAAGAAGGUAUGCCACUUUUCCAAUUCAGUGGAAUGCUCCUUUAAAACAUUUAUGUAUACAUGUAUGUUUUGCUUAAUUUUACUGAAAAUAACUAGUAACCAGCUAGUAGGGUUAAGGAUUGAACAGUAUUAAAGUAACGGUAAGCACCAAAACUACCUCAAGUUGACAGUGCCUAGGAUGUACCCCAGCAGCCUGACAAAAGCAAAUUGAUAUUUGUGGAAAUAACAAUACUAGCAUUUGUCAGUCAGAAUUCCUGUAGUGACUGUCACUCAGAAAGCCACAAGGGGCUCUUACAUUUGAAAACUUUCAAUUAUUGAAAGCCUUCGUUUUCGGUGCCACUGAAUGCAUUGAAUCAGUGUGUGUGUGUGUGUGUGUGGACUCAGCAGUCUGUGUGUGCAUGGACUCAGCUUUCUGUGUGUGUAUGGACUCAGCAGUCUUUGUGUGUGUGUGUGUAUGGACUCAGCAGUCUGUGUGUGUGUGUGUGUGUGUGUAUGGACUCAACAGUCUGUGUGUGUGUAUGGACUAAGCAGUCUGAGUGUGUGUGUGUGUGAGUGUGUAUGGACUGACAGUCUGUGUGUGUGUGUGUGUGUGUAUGGACUCAGCAGACUGUGUGUGUGUGUGUGUGUGUGUGUGUGUGAACUGUGUGUGUCUAUGUGUGUAUGUGUAUGAACUCAGCAGUUGUGUGUAUGGACUCAGUAGUCUGUGUCUGUGUGUUUAUGGACUCAGCAGUCUGUGUGCGUGUGUGUGUGUGGACUCAGCAGUCUCUCGCUGUGUGUGUGUAAGGACUCAGCAGUCACCGUGUGUGUGGACUCAGCAGUAUGUGUCUGUGUGUGUGUGUGUGUGUGUGUAUGGACUCAGCAGUUUGUGUGUGUAUGGACUCAGCAGUCUGUGUGUGUGUGUAUGGACACAGCAGUCUCUGUGUGUAUGGACUCAGCAGUGUGUGUGUGUGUAUGGACUUAUCAGUCUGUAUGUGUGUGUGUGUGAGUGUGGACUCAGCAGUCUGUGUGUGUGUAUGGACUCAGCAGUCUGUGUGUGUGUCUGUAUGGACUCAGCAGUCUGUGUGUGUGUAUGGACUCAGCAGUCUGUGUGUGAGUGUGUGUAUGGACUCAGCAGUCUGUGUGUGUGUGUGUGUGUAUGGACUCAGCAGACUGUGUGUGUGUGUGUGUGUGUGUGUGUGUGUAUGAACUCAGCAGUCUAUGUGUAUGUGUACGAACUCAGCAGUCUGUGUGUAUGGACUCAGUAGUCUGUGUCUGUGUGUUUAUGGACUCAGCAGUCUGUGUGCGUGUGUGUGUGUGGACUCAGCAGUCUCUCGCUGUGUGUGUGUAAGGACUCAGCAGUCACCGUGUGUGUGGACUCAGCAGUAUGUGUCUGUGUGUGUGUGUGUGUGUAUGGACUCAGCAGUUUGUGUGUGUAUGGACUCAGCAGUCUGUGUGUGUGUGUAUGGACACAGCAGUCUCUGUGUGUAUGGACUCAGCAGUGUGUGUGUGUGUAUGGACUUAUCAGUCUGUGUGUGUGUGUGUGUGUGUGAGUGUGGACUCAGCAGUCUGUGUGUGUGUAUGGACUCAGCAGUCUCUGUGUGUGUGUGGACUCAGCAGUCUGUGUGUGUAUGGACUCAGCAGUCUGUGUGUGUGUGUGUGUGUGUAUUGACUCAGCAGUCUGUGUCUGCAUAUACUCAGCUUUGUGUGUGUGUAUGGACUCAGCAGUCUUUGUGUGUGUGCGUAUGGACUCAGCAGUCUGUGUCUAUGUGUGUAUGGACUCAGCUUUCUGUAUGUAUAUUGACUCAGCAGUCUGUGUGUGUAUGGACUCAGCAGUCUGUGUGUGUGUGGACUCAGCAAAUUGAUAUUUGUGGAAAUAACAAUACUAGCAUUUGUCAGUCAGAAUUCCUGUAGUGACUGUCACUCAGAAAGCCACGAGGGGCUCUUACAUUUGAAAACUUUCAAUUAUUGAAAGCCUUCGUUUUCGGUGCCAUUGAAUGCAUUGAAUCAGUGUGUGUGUGUGUGUGUGUGUAUGGACUCAGCAGUCAGUGUGUGCAUGGACUCAGCUUUCUCUGUGUGUAUGGACUCAGCAGUCUUUGUGUGUGUGUGUAUGGACUCAGCAGUCUGUGUGUGUGUGUGUAUGGACUCAGUAGUCUGUGUCUGUGUGUUUAUGUACUCAGCAGUCUGUGUGUGUGUGUGUGGACUCAGCAGUCUCUCGCUGUGUGUGUGUAAGGACUCAGCAGUCACUGUGUGUGUGGACUCAGCAGUAUGUGUCUGUGUGUGUGUGUGUAUGGACUCAGCAGUCUGUGUGUAUGGAAUCUGCAGCCUGUGUGUGUGUGAUCUGUGCAGUCUCUGUGUGUAUGGACUCAGCAGUGUGUGUGUGUGUAUGGACUUCAUCAGUCUGUGUGCGUGUGUGUGUGUGUGUGGGGAGUGUGGACUCGUGCAGCCUGUGUGUGUGUAUGGACUGUGCAGCCUGUGUGUGUAUGGACUCGCAGUCUGUGUGUGUGUGUAUGGACAGUCUGUGUGUGUGUGUGUGUGUGUAUGGACUCAGCAGUCUGUGUGUGUGUCUGUAUGGACUCAGCAGUCUGUGUGUGUGUAUGGACUCAGCAGUCUGUGUGUGAGUGUGUGUAUGGACUCAGCAGUCUGUGUGUGUGUGUGUGUGUAUGGACUCAGCAGACUGUGUGUGUGUGUGUGUGUGUGUGUGUGUGUAUGAACUCAGCAGUCUAUGUGUAUGUGUACGAACUCAGCAGUCUGUGUGUAUGGACUCAGUAGUCUGUGUCUGUGUGUUUAUGGACUCAGCAGUCUGUGUGCGUGUGUGUGUGUGGACUCAGCAGUCUCUCGCUGUGUGUGUGUAAGGACUCAGCAGUCACCGUGUGUGUGGACUCAGCAGUAUGUGUCUGUGUGUGUGUGUGUGUGUAUGGACUCAGCAGUUUGUGUGUGUAUGGACUCAGCAGUCUGUGUGUGUGUGUAUGGACACAGCAGUCUCUGUGUGUAUGGACUCAGCAGUGUGUGUGUGUGUAUGGACUUAUCAGUCUGUGUGUGUGUGUGUGUGAGUGUGGACUCAGCAGUCUGUGUGUGUGUAUGGACUCAGCAGUCUCUGUGUGUGUGUGGACUCAGCAGUCUGUGUGUGUAUGGACUCAGCAGUCUGUGUGUGUGUGUGUGUGUGUAUUGACUCAGCAGUCUGUGUCUGCAUAUACUCAGCUUUGUGUGUGUGUAUGGACUCAGCAGUCUUUGUGUGUGUGCGUAUGGACUCAGCAGUCUGUGUCUAUGUGUGUAUGGACUCAGCUUUCUGUAUGUAUAUUGACUCAGCAGUCUGUGUGUGUAUGGACUCAGCAGUCUGUGUGUGUGUGGACUCAGCAAAUUGAUAUUUGUGGAAAUAACAAUACUAGCAUUUGUCAGUCAGAAUUCCUGUAGUGACUGUCACUCAGAAAGCCACGAGGGGCUCUUACAUUUGAAAACUUUCAAUUAUUGAAAGCCUUCGUUUUCGGUGCCAUUGAAUGCAUUGAAUCAGUGUGUGUGUGUGUGUGUGUGUAUGGACUCAGCAGUCAGUGUGUGCAUGGACUCAGCUUUCUCUGUGUGUAUGGACUCAGCAGUCUUUGUGUGUGUGUGUAUGGACUCAGCAGUCUGUGUGUGUGUGUGUAUGGACUCAGUAGUCUGUGUCUGUGUGUUUAUGUACUCAGCAGUCUGUGUGUGUGUGUGUGUGGACUCAGCAGUCUCUCGCUGUGUGUGUGUAAGGACUCAGCAGUCACUGUGUGUGUGGACUCAGCAGUAUGUGUCUGUGUGUGUGUGUGUGUGUGUGUGUGUAUGGACUCAGCAGUCUGUGUGUGUAUGGACUCAGCAGUCUGUGUGUGUGUGGACUCAGCAGUAUGGACUCAGCAGUGUGUGUGUGUGUAUGGACUUAUCAGUCUGUGUGUGUGUGUGUGUGUGUGUGUGUGUGAGUGUGGACUCAGCAGUCUGUGUGUGUGUAUGGACUCAGCAGUCUGUGUGUGUAUGGACUCAGCAGUCUGUAUGUGUGUGUGUGUAUUGACUCAGCAGUCUGUGUCUGCAUAUACUCAGCUUUCUGUGUGUGUAUGGACUCAGCAGUCUUUGUGUGUGUGCGUAUGGACUCAGCAGUCUGUGUCUAUGUGUGUAUGGACUCAGCUUUCUGUAUGUAUAUUGACUCAGCAGUCUGUGUGUGUAUGGACUCAGCAGUCUGUGUGUGUGUGGACUCAGCAGUCUGUGUGUGUAUGGACUCAGCAGUCUCUGUGUGAGUAUGGACUCAUCAGUGUGUGUGUGUAUGGUCUCAGCUGUCUGUGUGUGUGUAUGGACUCAGCUGUCUGUCUGUGUGUGUGUAUGUGUGUGUGUAUGGACUCAGCAGUCUGUGUGUGUAUGGACUCAGCAUUCUGUGUGUGUGUGUGUGUGUAUGGACUCAGCAGUCUGUGUGUGUAUGGACUCAGCAGUGUGUGUGUGUGUGUAUGGACUCAGCAGUCUGUGUGUGUAUGGACUCAGCAGUCUGUGUGUGUGUGUGUGUAUGACUCAGCAGUCUCUGUGUGUGUAUGACUCAGCAGUCUGUGUGUGUGUAUGGACUCAGCAGUCUUUGUGUGUGUGUGUAUGGACUCAGCAGUCUGUGUCUGUGUGUGUAUGACUCAGCAGUCUGUGUGUGUGUAUGGACUCAGCAGUCUUUGUGUGUGUGUGUAUGGACUCAGCAGUCUGUGUCUGUGUGUGUAUGGACUCAGCAGUCUGUGUGUGUGUAUGGACUCAGCAAUCUGUGUGUGUAUGGACUUAGCAGUCUGUGUCUGUGUGUGUAUGGACUCAGCAGUCUGUGUCUGUGUAUGGACUCAGCAGUCUGUGUCUGUGUGUGUAUGAACUCAGCAGUCUGUGUGUGUGUGUGUGUGUAUGGACUCAGCAGUCUGUGUGUGUAUGGUCUCAGCUGUGUGUGUGUGUGUGUGUGUGUGUGUGUAUGGACUCAGCAGCCUGUGUGUAUGGACUCAGCAGUCUGUGCCUGUGUGUGUGUGGCCUCUGCAGUCUGUGUGUGUAUGGACUCAGCAGUCUGUGUGUGUGUGUGUGGACUCAGCAGUCUGUGUGUGUGUGUGUGUGUGUGUAUGGACUCAGCAGUCUGUGUAUGUAUCUAUAUGUGUGUAUGGACUCAGCAUUCUAUCAAUAACUACAAUUCCUGUGAGUUAUUGUGUAGGAAGGGCCCAAGUGCACUGCUUUGCCUGGGGGCCCUUAACGCUGUUAAAAUGGUACUGCUUGUUCGUGUCAGUGAGCUUCUAUUUAGUGAGCAUGUGUGUGUCAGUGAGCUUGUCUUUAGUGAGCUUGUGUGUCCCCCUGAACUUCUUUGUAGUGAGCCUUCUGUUUAUACAAGUGAGUUUGUCUGUAGUAAGCUUGUGUGUGAGUCAGAGAGUUUUGUCUAUCAUGUCAGUGAGCUUGUGUGCUUACUUACUGUAAUAUAUAUAUAUAUAUAUAUAUAUAUAGUAUUGACUUGUAGGAAUGGCAUCAUUGUUUUGCUGCUUUGGAUUUCCAGGGAUUCCCAGUUUGGCUCUGCCAGCGAGUGCACUUUACCGCUGAAUCAUCUGUGUGAGCUGCCGCACACUUUAGCCCUGUUACACGCGUCUGGGAGCUGCUGUUGACAGGUACUAGUAGUCUAGAGAUUUGGACAUGGGGUAUAUGCUCAGCUAUCUGUAUAAUACAGAUCUGUGUGUAUAUAAUAUCCCAGGAUAGUCAGUGCUUCCUGUAUAGUGCUGCUCUCUGUAUAGUACAAACCUGUGUCUGUAUAAUAUCCCGGGACAGUCAGUGCUCCCUGUAUAGUGCUGCUCUCUGUCUUGGGAUAUUAUACACAAACAGACCUGUAUUAUACAUAGAGCAGCCCUAUACAGGGAGCACUGACUGUCCCAAUUUAUUAUACACACAACCCUGUAUUAUACAGAGAGCACUGACUGUCCAGGGAUAUUAUACACAGACAGUAAUUGAUAGCUGUGCUGCAAAAUGUCCUUGGAAAUUUUUUUCAAAUGUUGGCAACUAUGGCACUGUAUCAAGGGCAAUGUGUUUGUUUUUUAAUAAUCCCUGGUGGAAAAUAAUGACUCCUCCACCAGGGAUUAUUAAAAAAAAAAAAACACAAUGUGUCUGAGGCGGGGUAAAACUGCGGAGAGGGUGGGGUUAAAUGUGCCCCUCUACUUUUGUCCCUGGCCCAUCAUGUGCCCCCCCUAAAAAUGAAUCCUAGAAACGCCACUGCUGUAUACAAAAACAUGCUUACAUUUAAAUGCAAAAACACUGCUCACAAGUACAACCCUUCAAGAAUGGCCAAAUUAUAGAUCCCAGCUGGCAUAGCAUUGUGGGAGUUGUAUGACAGAUGGGGAUUUAUCUUUUUUCCACUCUUGCAAAAAUAUUCUUGCACCAGGGCCCUCUCUACAUUAGUUCUGUUUUAAUGCUAGAGUGUUCAUUUAAAAUGCUAGAAAAUGUUUGUCAGUUAAGAAUGGCCUAAUACUUCUUCUUGUAUAGUAAAAUAAAUCAUACUCUGUUUAAUGUUUUUUAUUACAUUUUUUUAAAACAAUUUUUUGUUUGAAUAAUAUGUAACCCUACGUUGAAACUUAAACAGAAUUUGCUCUCUAUAUUAGUGAUUGGCAACUUUUUGGCACUGCAGUACUUUUGGACUCUUACUCCCAAAAUGCACUGCCAGUCAACAGCUAGCAUUCUUAAUCUUAUCAAUCGUUGCUCUGUUAUUUAAUGCCACAAGCAAUUUGCAGUAUUCUUUUUUGUCCGUAAUAUGUCCUUUUAAAAAAACAAAAAACUAUAAUUCAACCACCUUAGGUUAAUGUAAUAGGCAGCUAUAAAUGCAUUGAUCAAAACUGACAGUCUACUUAAUACAUUUUAAAUUGAAGCUUUCACAAAAACAACAGGGGUUAAUAAAACACAGUAGAAAAAAAAGAAAAUUUUAUUAUUUUGUUAAUGGUUUGCUUCUCCUUGUGGAUCCCUGCAAAAUGUAUUCUGUGUAUUCUGCCUGUGGAGUGUUCAUCUUAUUCAGAGAGCAUUGCCACUUGCAAAUAAUGACACUGCAAAGUGUUUCACAUUAUAAUCCUUCCAUAGCCGAGACUGCUAUGAUAACCAAUGGGCAAUUCAAUUAAAAUAAAAGCAAUUAAAGCUGAUGUUUCAAAAAACUAAUUUGAAACCAGACAUUUACAACUGUGCAGAAGAAAAUAAAAACUUAUUCUACAAAGAGAACAAGUGGGCAGUGAAAAUUGUAACCUCUCUCCCACUGCUGCUAAAAUGUAUACAUCACUUUCACUCAAGUAAUCUAUGUGGGUGGACAAGGUGGUGCCCUGGGGCAAGGGGCCCUUCUAUACAUCCAUGAUUUUAUUCAUAAUAAAAAACAAUUCCUUCUUGUUUAAAUCACAUUUUCACUUGCUUUUAACUCUUUUUGUGACAGAUGACAUCAGUAAUGUUACAGUAAGUGGCUGCCUUGUCAUGAAGGGGUUUAUUUAUGCUGGAACUCUAGUGACAUAGACUGUAAUGACAACUAACUAGUGCUUAAAGGGUCACUCCACUGCCCAGAUAAAUUUAAAAAUAUCAUUGUUUAGUACAUACCCCUAACGGAAGCAUGCAUGCAUGCAUUUAAUUGUGCAUUUUCCUCAACUGGGGUAUAUCUAAAACCAGCUUGCAAAAGCUGCAGAUCUCUUGCAUUUGCAAGUCAUCCCAUUCUUCCCCAUCCUUCCCCAGUCUUUCUUUGGCUGUCCAAUCACAGACUUCAAUGCAGCUCAAUGAGAAGUCUUUGCAAGGCAGGUGCUCUGGGCAUUUGUCUGACUCUUGGAUUUAGCUCCAUUCAGCUAAACAACCAGCAAGUAACAGGACCGGCUUUCUGAUUGACAGCCAGGGGAAUGUAGAGAUAGUUUAGAUCCAAACUAAUCGCUAUGAAAGACAAGAAUAUAGUGUAGUAUGUCAUUAUUGUUGAUGAUGUAGAUAAGAGAGAUACACUUACAGCUUUUUGGAGCUUUUAUCCAGCUCUAAAUGUGUGCACCUGGGAGGUACAACCCCACCUGUGGAUAUACUUGUAGUUUUGAUUUUAUGACGAGGAAUUUCUUGGGCCGAAAUCUUAUAGAAGAUGUAUGUAUAUAGGAGUAGCCUCUAUAAGGAUGUUGCAUGUCCACGGUCAGAUAGGCUUUGAAAGGCGUUCACUGAUGAGGGUAUAUACUAAGAAAAGAAAACAAAAUAUAGUGUUCUCUUGAUAAAAGUAAUACUUACUUAAAAACUUACCUAAUUUUAUUUUCCUGGCUAUCAUUCAUUAGUCUCCCUCCUUUCAUUUCUUUGACUUUACAACAGACUGCAGUAUAGAAGGAGGAGGUACUUGUUUUGCAUGCAGUCUCUUAAUUAGAUUUGAAUUUCCUGUUCCAAUUUAUCUGGUAGUGGAGCUACCCAUAAGUGAUGUUGCUAUGAAUAAUAGGCAGGAAAGAAAAAUAACAGUAAGUAUGGUUUAAAAGAAAAUUUCUAAACUGAAAAAUAAAAAUGUGUAAGGAAGAAUUAGUUUCUAAGUUGGCUAUUGUGGCCAAAAAUAUUUUAAAUUCAUUUUGAAAUCACUUUGAAUUCCUGACCAUUCUCUCUUUAGUGAAUAACCCAAUCUAUCAAAAGUUUCAACCAUGCACAAAUUAUACUACAACCUGACUAAAUAAAACCAAACUUAUCACGGUUUAGGAUAAUUUCUCAGAGGACGAAAGGACACAUUUAUUUCAUUAACACAAAAAAAUAUAACCUGCAAUGGCUUUGAAACAAACCACAAAUUACAUACAAUAAAUAGUAGCUUAGCAUUAUAAAAUGUCAACAAAAACUUAACACCAGGAAGUUUCUAGUGCUGAAUUAUACAAAAAAUCGGCACAUUGGUAUUGAAUGGGCAAUUUGUCACUGUCUGAUGCUGCCCUAAGUUGGUACUAAACUAAGCACUUUCCCACCCUAUGUUAAACUGAAAUGUUGAUGAAAUAGGCAUGUUGCACUGUCUGCUGCAGUACUGAAAUAGUACAAAUAUUGGCACAUUGUCUGCUGCACUGAAAUGGUACUGAAAUGGGUGCACUGUCAUUCUCUACUGCAGUACUGAAAUGGGACUGAAAUGAUCUCAUUGCCAAUGUCUUCUGAACUGAAAUUGUGCUGGAUUUGUCACAUUACACUCUCUGGUACAACACUAAUAUGGUACAGAUAUUAUAAUAUGUCUGCUGCACUGAAAAGGGCACAUUGUAAUGUCUGCUGCAGCACUAAAAAGGUACAGUAAUGGGCACACUACCACUGAAUGCUGUAGUAGUUAGCUCUCACUAGAAAGAUUGCUUGAACUUUCACAAUACGAGCUUCUGGUACCCAAGAAUUGUCUAUCAACUCCAGACAUUGGUCCCAAAAAUGUAUUAACCAACCCCAACUUAAUCCAUAUGUAAGAAUAUUUUUUGUGAGAAACUUACAAAGCAGAGUGUCUUUGCAUGUUUGGUGGGGUAAGGCAGAAAACUGUUAUUUUAUUUAUUCUCUUGAACAAAUAAAAGGUUGCUAUUUCAUAUGAACAAGCUAAUUCUGCCAAAGCUGUCAUUUUUUUAUAUAUAUCUAUAUAUAUAUAGAUAUAUAUAUAUAGAUAUAUAUAUAUAUAUAUCUAUAUAUAUAGAUAUAUAUCUAUAUAUAUAUAUAUAUAUAUAUAGAUAUAUAUCUAUAUAUAUAUAUCUAUCUCCUGUGCACAUAAAAUAAUUUGGAUGUAUACACAUUUUUUUUUUUUGCAGUAUGGGUAGAUAUUCCCUGCUUGUUCUCAUCUUUUUGCUACAUGCAGUGGCGUACACAUGACCCACUAACACUAACACACUAACACACACGCAUGUUUUUUUUAAAAAUUGAAUCCCCCAGCCUCCUUACCUUUUGGAGUGCUGAGGGGAUUCCCUGGGGUCCAGUGGUGCUGCUGGGCUCCUGGGUGGCCGGUCACCCGGCAGAAGGGACUGAUGCCGGAGUUGGAAGAUGACGUCCCUCGCGCACCCGCAGGACCGGCCGCCCGGUGACAGCAGGGCCAACCUCGGGGGGCCCUGUGGUGGCCGGCUCCUGGGCCCCCCAGGGGAAGAGGCUGGCCACAGAGGCAUACAUACCGGGGCAGGGCGGCCGGGCCCACUGGUGGGCCGGGCCCGGUUGCAGCCGCAUCCCCUGUAACCCCAGUAUGUACGCCACUGGCUACAUGGGAUUCUUGGGCUACAAACAUUUUUUACUAUAGUGUACAGUACAACCAAUGCAUGUUACAUCAAAUAUGAUCACUGACGAAAUUAAUUCCUUGUUGAAUGACUUUUUCCAGAUGGAAUGAGCUUUACACAAAGCAACUCUACAAAUGAGAUUAUUUCCCUGCAGGAAUUACUGUAUACUGGAUGAGAUUUCCGUAGGAAUAAUCACUUACUAUCUUGUUAUUGAUCUUGCUGUAUACAGAUUUUGAUAGUGUAUUUUAUUAAUAUUAGCACUCUAAGCACAUAUUAAGCACUUGGUACUUUUAUGGCACUUGUCACUUUAAGUUUAUAUAUCUUCACUCUCGUAAUAUAGAAAUUGGAGUUGUAUCCAGGUAUAUGGCAAUGUUCUGCUAAUAUAUCUUUAUAUUUUCUUCAUGUUGAGUGCGGUAUCAAUUUUUGUAUUUUGGAUAUUUCAUUUUUUGGCCUGAGGGGGUGGCUAAGAUACCAGCACCUAUAAUCUGAUUGUGUGCUAGCACACUUUGUAAUUGUUUAUAGAAUUAGGUCUGACUCUGUAUAUGUUUAAAAUAACUUGUAUAAUUUCUGCCACAAAGUCCUUGAAUUUUUCAUAAAAGUAUGUGUACCAUCAGAAAAAAAAAAUGCUGCUCCAUCUUGUUUUUUCAUUUAAGUGAUAAGUGAAAGUGAGUUCAAAUUGAAUUCAAGUUAAGGUCAAAAUAGCCAAACUUGAGAAAUUCUCUGCUUCUACGUGGUCCUUUCCCUGGUUGCUUGUGAUUCCUAGGAACCCCUGCUCCAUUUUCUUUUUUUAAAGGGGGGCAGAGGGGGUAGCCCAAUGUCAGUCCUUUGUUCAGCCCUGUUUCUUAUACAUUAAAAAAGCAGCUUCUUCGAUUUUCUAUAGCCGCACAAUUAAAUGGAUUUAAAUGGCUCAGAGGAUACAGAGUGUGUCAACAAUUUGCUAUUAAGCAGGAUUUUAAACUAAUCCUCUGUAGAUCAGUAAGUGAAUAAUUCAAAACAUGGACUGGUCUGUUAAAAUACUAACUAAACUCCCUAAGCUUAUUGAACCUUUUACUUGCAUGUAAGACUAUUACCAAAUCCACUGGUUAUUGAACAAAAGGAUAACAAUGAAAUGCAUAAGAACAGAUUUUUAUAUCCAUUUUGGAACACUGCAUUGCAUCAUUAAUCACAUAUUACUGUGAAGAAUUUAUUGAAUCUCAACUUAAAGGACCACUACAGGCACCCAGACCACUUCAGCUCAAUGAAGUGAUCUGUGAGCCAGGUCCACCUAGUUUUAACCCUGCAGCUGAAAACAUAGCAGUUUUCAGCUGGUGGCGGUCUCCCUGACAGCUGCUAGAGACCGCUUCCGCGAUUUACAUGGAGUAAAUCGCACUUAUUUGAUGCUGGACGUCCUCACGGAGUCCGGUGUCAAAAAAGAUUCCCAUAGGAAAGCAUUGAGCAAUGUUUUCCUAUGGGCGGGUUUGAAAGUGUACGCGCCUCUGGCCGUGCAUGCGCAUUCGGCUCCACUCGGAAGCUGACGUUGAUGGAGGAAGAGAGUUCACCAGUGCCGAGGGAGCCUGGCGCUGGAUUAAGGUAAGCAAAUAAAUGGUUAAUUAACCAUUUAUUCACAGCAGAAUAGGGCCCUAGUCACCUAAAUGGUGAAGGGGCUCUACAGUCAUACAUAGUAUGUAUGUAUACGUAGUAUGUAUGUAAAUAUGUAUUCCUAACGCUAUAGUGUUCCUUUAAAGGACCACUAUAGUGCCAGGAAAACAUACUCGUUUUCCUGGCACUAUAGUGCCUUGAGGGUGCCCCCACCCUCAGGGCCCCCCUCCCGCCGAGCUCUAGGGAGAGGAAAGGGUUAAACUUACCCCUUUCUCCAGCCCCGGGCGGGGGACUCUCCUCCUCCUCUCCUCCUCCAUAGCGACAUCAUCGGCUGCAUGCGCGGCAGGAACCACGCACGUAUUCAGCCAGUCCAUAGGAAAGCAUUCUCAAUGCUUUCCUAUUGUCACAUAUUCAUCCGCUUAUAGAAAUGUGGUUAAUGACAUUUACUGUCCACACAGGAAAAGUUGUGCCAAGCAGCAACCUAAUCCACAGAAGGGUUAAUGCUGAGCAGUAAUUGUGCAAAUGAAACCUGGUGUCAUGUAUUCAUCCGCUUAGAGAAAAGUGAUUAAUGACAUUUACUGUCCACACAUGAAAAGUUGUGCCGAGCAGCAACCUAAUCCACAGAAGGGUUAAUGCUGAGCAGCAAUUAUGCAAAUUAAACCUGGUAACUGACUUUGGGGUCAAAGGCCGGUUACAGCCUAUCAGAACUAAAGGAGGGGUAUUUAGGCCCAGUUCUCAGCCUGCUCAGUGCCCUGUCGUGGUUUCCCUUGUGGUUGUCUGAGAGCGCGUUCCUGUUUAUAGUUUUCUACCUGGUUUUUGACUUUGGCUUUGUUUAUUGACUUCUCUAUAUUCUGGUAUCCUGACUCCUGGCUUUCCUCAUCGCUGUGUCCCUUUCUGUGUUCCCUGACCUCGGCUAGUAUUUUUGACUAUUCUUUGUACGUUAAAUCUGGCCAUUCUAAGGACCGGUAAUACGUUACUUAUUUGUCAUCUGUGCUGUACAGUUCUACGUGCUGGAUCAAACAGUAAUCCUGACAUUACGACAGGGAAUUCAUUUACUCAUUUGUCUUGGUUUAUUUGGACGAUAUUUUGGUGUAUUCCCCUGAUCUUCAAACUCACCACUCCCAUGUGAAACAGGUUCUGCAGACGUUGUUGAAAAAUAAACUUUAUUGUAAAUUAGAAAAGUGCAUAUUUGACCAGCCUGAAGUCCACUUUUUGGGUUACAACAUCUCUGCAUCGGGAUUUCAAAUGGAUCCUAAAAAACUAGAGGCUGUACUACACUGGCCAUUACCCUCUGGUUUAAAAGCCAUUCAAAGGUUUAUUGGUUUUGCCAACUAUUACAGAAGAUUCAUCAAGGGAUUUUCUUCUGUAAUAGCCCCAAUCACAAAUAUGACUCGCAAAGGGGUUAGUAGCACGGUAUGGUCCAAAGAGGCUGUGAAUGCUUUUGAGACUCUUAAACAAAGAUUUGCCUCUGCGGACAUACUAAAACAUCCUGACACCAGUAAACCUUUUAUAUUGGAGGUUGAUGCAUCCGAGACAGGGGUAGGGGCUGUUCUCUCUCAGAGAGAAAGCCAGGGAACACCAUUGCAUCCUUGUGGCUACUUCUCCAGAAAGAUGUCUCCUGCUGAGCGCAACUAUGAUAUUGGCAAUAGAGAACUGUUGGCCAUUAUUCUUGCCCUCAAGGAGUGGCGACAUCUUUUGGAGGGUUCCAAGGACCCCCUGUUGAUCAUAACCGACCACAAAAAUCUGGCAUAUAUAGGGGAUGCCAAACGUUUGUCUUCCAGACAGGCUAGAUGGUCACUGUUCCUUUCACGUUUUAACUUUCUCAUUACUUAUAGACCUGGUUCUAAAAAUACCAAGGCUGAUGCCUUGUCCAGGCAAUUUGAUAAUGAGUCAGCUCCGGAACAGAUGACAUCUCCUAUUAUUCCAGCAGAGUGUAUUAUUGCUACUACUGUCCUCUCACUGUCUUCUCCACUGCUUGGCACUAUACUGGAGGCCCAGCCUCAGGCGCCCAGUGGUAAACCGUGUGAUAAACUGUUCGUUCCCCUAUGUGAAAGGGUUAAUAUCAUGAAAGUGUUCCAUGACAAUAUAACUGCUGGACACCCGGGCAUCAAUAAGUCCACUGCCGCGAUCACUAGAUCAUUUUGGUGGGAUUCACUCAGGAAAGAUGUAAAGGAGUAUGUGCAGGCAUGUUCUGUGUGUGCAGUUUCUAAGGUGACUCAUGCACUUCCUUGUGGCCUGUUGCAGCCUCUUCCUGUUCCUGAGAUUCCAUGGUCCCACCUAUCCAUGGACUUUAUUGUUGAGCUUCCUAGCUCUGCUGGGUUCACUACUAUUCUCAUGGUUGUAGACCGAUUUUCUAAGAUGGCUCACUUCAUUCCUCUCAAGAAGUUGCCAUCUUCGCAAGAUUUGGUCCUAAUUUUCAUACGUGAAAUUGUCCGUUUGCAUGGCAUCCCCCACAAUAUUGUGUCUGAUAGGGGCUCUCAGUUUGUGUCCAGGUUCUGGAGGGCGUUCAGUAAACAAUUGGGGAUUGAUCUCUCCUUCUCCUCCUCCUACCAUCCACAGACCAAUGGUACAGCUGAGAGGGCUAACCAGUCAUUAGAAGUUUAUUUGCGUUGUUUUAUUAAUAGCACACAAGACAAUUGGUCCGAACUACUCCCGUGGGCCGAGUUCGCUAGAAACAAUGCUGUUCAUGACUCCUCUGGGCACAGUCCAUUUUUUGUCAAUAAUGGUAGGCAUCCUACGGUUCUCCCUGCGGUAUUUUCUGAUACUGCCAUUCCUGCUCUGGAUGAGCGUCUGGCCUCCAUUCGGGAUACCUGGGUUAAGGUUCAAACUGCUCUAGGGGCUGCUGCUGAACGCUUCAAACAUUUUGCUGAUAAGCGUAGGAGUGCCAACCCGGUGUACCAAGUGGGGGACCGGGUUUGGUUGUCAUCUCGCAACAUCAAGCUUAAGGUCCCUAGCAUGAAGUUUGCCCCCAGAUUCCUUGGUCCCUAUAGAGUGCUUCGUAGGAUCAAUCCAGUGUCUUACUCUCUGGCUCUUCCUGCAUCUUUAGGGAUUCCCAACACUUUUCAUGUGUCCUUACUCAAACCUCUUGUCUGCAAUAGAUAUACUGUUCCUUGUGUUCCUCCCCCUCCGGUGGUGGUGGGUGGUCAGGAAGAGUAUGAGGUAUCUUCUAUCGUGGAUUCUAGGUUUUCUCGGGGCACUUUACAGUACUUGGUUGUUUGGAAAGGUUACGGUCCUGCUGAUCGUUCUUGGGUUUCGGCUCCUGACCUGCAUGCGGGCCGUAAGAUCCAUGCUUUUCACACUAAAUUUCCUCUCAAGCCUGGUCCUGUCCGCCCGGUGGGCGUUCUUCAGGUGGGGGGUAAUGUCACAUAUUCAUCCGCUUAUAGAAAUGUGGUUAAUGACAUUUACUGUCCACACAGGAAAAGUUGUGCCGAGCAGCAACCUAAUCCACAGAAGGGUUAAUGCUGAGCAGUAAUUGUGCAAAUGAAACCUGGUGUCAUGUAUUCAUCCGCUUAGAGAAAAGUGAUUAAUGACAUUUACUGUCCACACAGGAAAAGUUGUGCCGAGCAGCAACCUAAUCCACAGAAGGGUUAAUGCUGAGCAGCAAUUAUGCAAAUUAAACCUGGUAACUGACUUUGGGGUCAAAGGCCGGUUACAGCCUAUCAGAACUAAAGGAGGGGUAUUUAGGCCCAGUUCUCAGCCUGCUCAGUGCCCUGUCGUGGUUUCCCUUGUGGUUGUCUGAGAGCGCGUUCCUGUUUAUAGUUUUCUACCUGGUUUUUGACUUUGGCUUUGUUUAUUGACUUCUCUAUAUUCUGGUAUCCUGACUCCUGGCUUUCCUCAUCGCUGUGUCCCUUUCUGUGUUCCCUGACCUCGGCUAGUAUUUUUGACUAUUCUUUGUACGUUAAAUCCGGCCAUUCUAAGGACCGGUAAUACGUUACUUAUUUGUCUUCUGUGCUGUACAGUUCUACGUGCUGGAUCAAACAGUAAUCCUGACACCUAUGGACGCUGGCGUCUUCUCACUGUGAAAAUUACAGUGAGAAGCGCGGAAGCGAAUCUAGCAGCUGUCAAUGAGACAGCCACUAGAGGCUGGAUUAACCCUAAUGUAAACAUAGCAUUUUUUUCUGAAACUGCUAUGUUUAUAGAACAAAGGGUUGAUCCUAGCUGGACCUGGCACCCAGACCACUUGAUUAAGCUGAAGUGGUCUGGGUGCCUAUAGUGGUCCUUUAAAUUAAUCAAAAUGCAAUGUGAAUUAAAUUUAAAUGUACUAACCUAGUAUAAUGAGUAUUAUUUAUUAAGGGAACUAUAUCAUGUUUCAGACAUGGCUAACACACAUUACACAAAAGGUCAAGAAGAGAUUUUUGAUUGGACAUACUGUGAUACUGUGGUUGUGGGUAUUUCCCAUUUGCUAGAGGUGAUUUAACUUCUAAUGUUGAUAGAAUUUCAUUAAUGUUGUUUUGGUGCUUAGAACCCUUUAAAAAGGGCUCAAAUGCAGUGGGUUCAUUGAUUUAUUUUUUUUGUAAGGACCCUUAAAAUAUUUUUUACUAAAAUCAUGGCAAUCAAAGAGAUUGGAAAAAUAUAACAUAAAUAAAUCAAGUCGGAAUAGAUAAAAUAACUAAAUUACCUACUUUCAAUUUUCUAUUGUUGUUGCAAUUAUGUCAUAGGUGUAGAAGGGCUAAUCCAUCAACAUAGCAACAACUGAGUAUAGGGACAUGGGUAUUUAACAAAUCUAUUUUGAAUAGGUGGAAACUAGACUUGGAGAUUUGUUUCGGUCCAAACUGCAACUUAUCCAAAUUUGGACCGAUCAAAUCCCCGAACUCAGAGCCAAGCAUGUUCGUUUUCAUUUGUGGUUCUGAACUCAUCCCACAGCAUAAUUUUAAGGGAAAAAUAUGAUUAAUGGCUAAGGGGCAGUCACUAUAUGUUGAGAAGUGACCAACAGAGGGGAAAAUGCUAGAGCAGUAAAAAAAAUUGAAAAAAUCAGAAUUUAUAUAUUUAAUAAAUAUAUCAUAUAUGAAUAUAGUUUUUUUUUUCAUCUUUGUUUUCCCCUUUGUUGGUUACUUUUUCUCUCUUGAUCUGUAAGCCAAAUGGCAGGAAACUGCUCCUAAUAAUGUACUGCACAAUAUACAUAUAUAAAAGUAAUUUUCACUUUCUUUUGGUUCAUCUCAUAAUUUUCCAGAAUCAGAUUUUUUUUAGUACCAAUAUUCUGCCAAGUUGAACCGACAUGUAGCUGAAAUUUUGACUUCCAAAGAAAAAAAAAUUUCAGGAACAAAAGAUUUAGCUGAAUCUAAUUUUCUCACUCUCACAAUUAUAGUGUCAAGUCUGCCUUAAAGGGUCUGAAGGGUCUGUCGGGGAACCAUAACAACUUAAUCAGAAUGAAAAAUUAAUACCACAAUGCAGAAUGCCCAGUGUAAAUACUGGAUGUAUUUCUGUAGAAUUCUCUCACUUUACUACAGAGUUAUUAUUUCAUUUUGAAGUUUAGCAAGUCUAAUUGCCUUUUUGCAUGCAUUAUUUGCUUCCUUAUAUCUUUUAUAAGAUGCAUCUGAUUUGUCCGAUUUAAAUGCUUUAAAUGCCCUUUUCUUAGUUGUAAUCUCUUGUUUUACUUCUCUACUAAGCCACAUUGGUUUUAAUUUGUUUCUUUUAUAUUUAUUUCCCAACGGUACAUACUGAGAAAUUUAACUUUUUAAUAUUUGUUGGAAGAUGAUCCAUUUAUCCUCAGUGUUCUUUUCACUAAAGAGUUUAUGCCAGUCAAUAUAUUGUAAAGCUUCCCUUAACUUAUUGAAAUUGGCCUUUUUAAAAUUAUAUGUUUUAGUAUUCCCCAUGUGCUUUUGUUUUUUUGAGUUUAUUUCAAAGGACACUAUAUUGUGAUCACUAUUUCCCAAGUGCUCACCUACUUGAAUGUUGGUCAAAAGAUCAACGUUGUUUGUUAAAACCAGGUCCAGACAAGUGUCCAUUCUAGUUGGUGCUUGUACAAGUUGUGACAUGUAGGUGUCAUUUAAAAACCUAAUUCCCUUUGCUGAGGUACUAGUCCCUCUGUCCCAAUUUUAUAUCUGGGUAAUUAAAAUCUCCAAUAAUUAAAGUGUUACCCAGAUUUGCAGCUUUCUCAAUUUGCUCAAACAGCUGUUGUUCCUCAUCAAUAUUAACAUUAGGUGGUUUAUAACAUAUUCCAACCAAUAGUUGGUUUCCCUUCUUUUCCCCCAAGCAGAUAUUUACCCAUAAAGCUUCCACAUUAUCCUCCUCGCAUUCCAUUUGCUUAACAUUUGGCUUUAAAUCAUGGUUGGCAUACAAACAUACCCCACCACCCUUCUUGUAUUUCCUAUCCUUCCUAAAUAACAUGUAUCCAUUUAAGUUAGCUGCCCAGUCAUGUGUCUCAUCCCACCAUGUUUCAGUUAUGCCUAUUAUAUCAUAUUGUUUAGUGUAUGCUAAUGCCUCUAGUUCCCCCAUUUUGUUAUAUAGGCUCCUUGCAUUAGUAAGCAUACAUUUAAUAUUAUGUGUCAAUGUAAUCACAGUUAUUAAAAAAUGAAACAACCAAGAAUUUAAAUGGAGGAGUGGGCUAGGGAUCUACUUAAUCUAAGGCACAAUAGUUGUGGCCUGCCCAAUGUCUAGAUAGGAGUUCUUUCAAUUCCAUACCAAAAUAUGUCUCUCACUGCAAAAAAAAGUUAGUAGACCCCAGUAUUCUGUGCAUCUCCUUCAAUGUUAAGUGUCACUCACAUGCAGAGAAUAAAAUUAGAUGUAUCUUUAAAAGUAUCUUUAAAAUGUAUUGUGACAGACCACCUGGUACCCCGACUGGGUACCUCCUCCAAUCGCUGCUUCCUAGUAAUCCUUAAGUACCAUAAGCACCGCACCAGACACCAUAACCACUCCAAACCCCACAAAUCACCGCAGCUUAGUUAGGGUCUCGCUGUUCUCCACCCACCCUGGACACAAGACAAGGGUACAGAGCAAAGCAGGCUGCUCUUCCAAGAGCAAUCAUUGUAAGCCAAUGGAGUAUAGUGAUUAUAGCAAUCCCCAGAGUGAAUAUAGCUCUCCAAUCCCCCAAAUAUGAGCCUAGAUUUCAUGAUGGGUAAAACGAAUCUCUGUAAUGGCAGCCACAACUGGCCUUAUAUGCAGGUCCCUAUGCAAGGGGCACUCCCCCUGGACCUGAGAGUAGACUACAGUAAAAACAUACACACAAUUACAUUGGCUCUCAGUUCCAGGACACUCCUACAUAAAACAAGAUAAUCCCUCCUCUCAGGGCCGGCCUUAGGCCUUUAGGCGCCCUGUGCAAAAAAUCUUCACAGCGCCCCCCCUCCCCGUCAUCCAUGUAUGAUGUAAUGUUUGUGUUGUCUGUGAUAGUAGGUGUGAUGACUGUGUGUGAUAUGUAUGUUUUGUGUUGGCUGUGUGUGAUAUUUGUAAUGGGUGUAUUAACAGUGUGUGAUAUGCGUGUAUUGGUUGUAUGUGAUAUUUGUUCUGGGUUUAUUGGCUGUGUGUGAUGGUUAUUUAAUUCAGAUAAAAACAUGCAUUUAGGCCUGUGUGUGAAUGCAAGUGUAUAUUUUUGCAGAGUUAUGUGCACAGUCAGAUGCACACAGUUAUACAUAUACACUGUCAAAACCACCACAUGCAGAUAGUCACAUUCACAGGAUCAGGCAGAAACACACAGGUACAGGCAGUAACACACAUACAGUUACAGGUAGAUAAACCUACUCACACACAAUCACAGGCAGACAGCCACACACACACACAGGCAGCCACACAUACAGUUUUACACACACACACACACACACACACACAGCCACACAUACAGUCUUACACACACAUAUUUACAUGCAGACAGCCACACACACACACAUACACACAGGCAGACAGCUACACAUACACAAACAGAGUCAGAUGGCCAUACACACACAUGAAGACAACCACACACACAGGCACAGGCAGUCACACACACACACAGGCAGACAGCCAAACAAACACACACAGGCAGACAGUUACACACACACACACACAUAGGCAGACAGUCAUACACCUAGGCAGACAGUCACACACAGACACACACACACGCAGGCAGACAGACACACAUACACAGGCAGACAGUCAUAUACACACAGGCAGAAAGUCACACACAUAGGCAAACCGUCACACACACACACAGGCAGACAGGCAUACACAGACACACAUACGGGCAGACAGUCAUGCACACAGACACACACACAGGCAGUCAUACACACACACAGGCAGACAGUCAUACACACAGAAACACACACACAGGCAGUCAUACACACACAAACACACACACACACACACAAAGGCAGACAGUCAUAUACACAGACACACAGUCAUACACACACACAUAGGCAGACAGUCAUACACACAGAUAGACGGGCAGACAGUCAUACACACAGACACACACACACACAGGCAGUCAUACACACAGACACACACACAGAGGCAGUCAUACACACAGACACACACACACAGGCAGUCAUACACACACACACACACACAGGCAGUCAGACAUACACACACACACACACACACACAGGCAGACAGACAUACACACACACACACACAGGCAGACAGUCACACACACACACACACACAGACACACAGGCAGACAGUCACACUCACACUGACAAUCACACAGUUACCUGUGGAGUUCAUUGUGGAGGCAGUGCAGCUCCUGGAGACUAUUUGGUGGGGAAGCAGGGACUCCUUCCUGCUUCCCUGCAGCAGUCAUCUGGUGCUUUUAGCUCUGCCCCGCCGCACGGUAAGCUCGGCCCCACCGCAAUUUUUUUAUUUUUUUUAUUUUAUUUAAAUUCCAGCUGGCCAUGUGUGAACGGUGUCGGCACACCCCUAAGGCCGGCCCUGCCUCCUCUGUGCCUGGGAGAUAAUUGAGUCAGGCACUGUAUUAAACUCAAUUAUCUCCACGCACAGAAAACAUAAAUGUUUACAAAACCCCACAAAAGUUACAUCCCCUGAUAGCCCAACAUAUCCAAAAAUCACCCAGAUCGGUUCAGGGGUUCGGGAAUUUCCUGGAAGUCAUAAUUUGACCGGCCGUGUACAUGGUCCCAUGCCCAAAACAGUUCCAGAGAAUCAGGGCUUGCGGUCGGUCUAAUUCGGUAGUUUAAAAACUGAACAAACUAUUGAACAUAUUAAAGAGUCUUACCCUGGAGCAUGUUCCCCUUGUUCGUGGGAACGUUUCCACCGAACAGUGUCUUCCUUAGUGUUAUAACAUUGAAAACAGGCGAUCAUGGAAGUCCAGUGGUGUUCAGGAGUUUCAGUGUCCGAAAAUAGUUCCAUGAACUCGACAACGAAAUACCGCUGCCUGUUUUCAUGCAAACAAGAUGGCUGCCACCUGGUGGUCGUCCAUAGGAAAUGCGGCCACCCAGACGAACACUUAGAACACUGCAAUGGAAAUUGCUACAAAGUAGCAAUUAGGCUUAACAAGCUCCAGGGUGGUCUCUGGUUCGUGCGGCUGUUCGGUUCCCGAACCCUAUAGUACAAAUACACGAACUGAGACUUUUUCAGUGUAUAUUACAGGGCUCAUAGUCUGUGAGCAGGAGACUGGCAAGCAGGCUUCUCCAGGAGCUCAUGGCAAACUCACUUGGAAAGGGGAGUUUGUCACAUGUAUCUUUAAAUUUCUAACACAACAUGUAUAUUUUCCCUUUAAUACAUAGGGCUGGUAAUGCAUACCACUGUUCAUACCACUAAUAUUCAGAUUUUAAUGGAUACCUGUGGCUCCUGUUAGUCAUCUGGGUCCAUUUUCAUGGGCCCCAUAAUGACCGAUGAGCUCUGUGCAGAUCUUGAAGUCAGUGCAGCACAGAGCCCUUUAACUCCAAUCAUAAAACUGUGGCUGAGCAAUCGCCCAGAAUCUGAAUAGACCUUGGCAGGGUCUCCCAGCCUGUCCACAGGAGACCAGGCUUCAUUCAUAAUUACAAGUAAGUGGCGAUCACAUACCACUAUCUACUGUGCUAAAUAGAAAAACUUUUCUUCACUAUCAGACCUGAUAUUAACAGUGGGUUCAGUUCGGUUUGUGGUGGGGUUGCGGUUAGGCUCAAUUUUAGCAUUAAGGUAGGGCUAGGGUAUAAAUUAGGGAUAAGAGUAAGGUAGGAUUAUAAUUAGUGUUAGAUUAGGGUUAUGUUUAUGGUUAGGGUUAUCUGUAGGGUUAGGUUUACUGUAGGGUUAAGGUAAGAUAUGGGUUAAUGCUGGGUUUGGUCAAUACUGUUUUAUGGUUAGAGUUAGAGUAGGGUUAAGGUAAAAUUAGGUUAUGCAUAUGGCUAGAGUUAGAGUGAGCAUUAGAAAAAGGGUAUGGUUGGUAUAGCAUUAGUGUGGGGCUGGGUAUGGGGUUAGCAUUAAGUAUCAAAAACUAAUUUAGCUUCUAGGCAUAUUGGGCAUUUAACAAUCAGUACUGAGAUACUAAGCUAUUUUGAGCUCUUUUUAAUUAGUUUCACUGGAUAUGUAAAAAUUAUUACAAGCAAAAUUGUGAAAAUAUUAAUUUAUUCCCAAUAUUUUCAAAUUUUUAACAUUGUAAUCACAUGUAAUGUUGUGUUAAGUAUACAUAUAUGAUAAUAAAUGAAAGCCAAUUAUGUAUUUUAAAAAACAAUAUAUAAUAUGUUUGAAGGCACUUGAAGAGAAACCCUUAAAUUACAGUGAAAAUACCUAUAUUCACCUAUAUAUCAAACUCAAGGUUUUAUUUUUGGUUCAAAACAUGGACAAUUGCCUCUGUCCUUAAGGGUUUCACACUUUUCCCCAGCAACAUGGGCUAACCAAUGCUUCUCUACAAAUGCACUGUAAGUGACAACUCCUCCUUACUUCUCUCACAAUCUACAGCAACCUUUGUAGCUCAAACUUCCUGCUUGCAAUAUAGCACCUAGGGAGGGUUAUGAUUGGCUCUGAGAACACCAAUUGUAGUACAGAGAUUCUUUGCUUGAUAUAAUAAUGCUUAUUGUAUGCCAACAUUAUGUCUACAUUUAUACAUUAUUUUACAUUUGCCUUGCCCUUUAGAAAGCUGCAUGUAUAUAUAAUAUAUCAUGCAGUUCCAUACUGACACUCAGAAAUAGCGUAUGACCCAUUUAAGUUAUGUAUGUUUUUUAAAUCCAUAAUCCAUAAAUAUAUUUCUGAUUAUUUUGUAAUAUUAUGGAAUCUGUUUAAAAUGUUUCAAAUGCACGAUAAAGAAUACCAAAUGAGAAUCCAAUGAAAGCAAGUGGUAAAUUAGUAUAUUUGUAAUAUGUUGGUAUUUCUGAACAGGUAUCGGUGUUUAAAUUUGAUAUUGUAUGCUAUUUGUAUGUACCUGCUAUACAGCCAAGUUUCAAAUAAACAGUUUGCUAUUUUUGAUUAAACAUAACUUGUUUAUUAAUGGGGUCUAUGUCUGCCUAUUUCUUUGAUCACUGUACUUUUUAUUAAUGGCGUUUUUUCCACCUACGAACCACUCUGGAUGCCAAUCUCCACUUUAUAGAUAUAAAUCCUCUCUAAAGGGUUUCUUGAUUUAUGAUUUUUCUUCUUUCACAUAUUAAAAUGUUAUUGUAAAAGGUGAGGUUAUUUCUUUUAAUCUAUAUUUUUUUCUGUUGCCUUAACUCAGCAGAACCUUGUCAAAGCCCAGCAUAAAGUGUGGUACAAAGAAAGAAUAAGAACAUAUUUUAUUAGUGAGGAUAUGUUUAUUAUUACCGACUAGUGAGCAAAGUGUUAAACGUUUCACAACCACACUAAUGCUCAUUUCUCGCAUAGAAUCUAAUUAAAAUGAUAUCACUAUCUUGUUACCAUCCUGCAAAAUGGCUAAACAGUGUUCCAAUAGGAACUGCAUUAAUAAGAGUCAAAUUAUAGCACCAGUGCUUAAAUAACGAGGAGUUAAUUAUAUGGCAAAUCAAUGUAAGCUUAAUGCAACCAGCCACCUUCCAAAUACCCCUAGAAAAUCAAUGUGCACAAAAUUAACACAUCAAACCUCUGCCUUGGGAUUGUAGAGGGAGGGCGGGUUAACACAUUAUAUGAUAUAUAAAGGACAAGUGAUACAUUUAUUUCCAUAAUGUGUUCUUAGCACUUCGAGACAUUAAUGACAAAUCAAUUACGUAUAUCAAUUUCUAAUCAUAAUUGCAAUAUACUGAAAGACGUUCUAAAUCUAAUCAUACAUUGGUAACAAACUGCAAUAAUUUAACAUAGUGUACAUAUUGAUGCAUGGUGCUUCUAACUUGGGUAGUUGUUUUAUUUUUGUUUUAUUAAGGAAAAGCAGAUAAUUCACAUCUUUUUACAUUAUUUAAUGUGGCAUGCUUCUUAAAUAAAAAGUCAUAUUUAUUUUGUUUUGAAUUUUUUUAAAUUAAUUUGUUAGAUAAUUUUCAUGCUAGUCAACAAAUUGAUGCCAAGUGAAGUAUGUAUUUUGGAGUGAGACAGAUAUACGUUAACACUUUAACCAAUGCGUUAAUUAUUGGAUUAGACUAGGUUAAAACCAUUGCCCUAUUUUUAUGCAUUUUAUAAAUAACUCUUUAAAAAAUAUUGCAAAAACGUUAGAAGUUAGAAAUAAUUUACCAACAAAGUGUUCCUCAGUUCACUGCCUGCAAGCAUGAUCCUCCCACAUGCAUGGAUGGGAUUCUCUAAUGUGGAGUAGCUCUUUUUGGUCAGUGGGUACUGAUAUCAUCCCUUAGUUCCCUUUCCGAUAGAAGUUUAUUUACUAUAUUAGAGAUUAUAAAGAUAGUAAAGAAGCCAAGAGAGGCCUUGUAUUUUUAUAUUUGUCUUACUUGUUAUCUCACGAAAACAACUUGUUUUCUCAAAAUAACAAGUCAGAAAAAUAUAAAAAAUACAUGGCCUCUCUGGUUAUCAUGCAUUGUUACAUUCCUCCUGGCAUGUUCUCAAUAAUUAACAAAGAAAGAAGUAUCAAUUUUAUAGCAUGUGGUUUACGUGAAUAUUUAUCAUGAACCCAGUUCAUUGGUAUUUGUUAAGGAAUAAGUUGUCAUAUUUUGGAAUGCAAAACACCAAAAUGGUAGCAGAAUGGAAAUUUAAAUGUAUAAAUGUGACUAUGGUGCUAAGUACAGCAAAUAUGCUGCCUUAAAAAAACAAACAGGUUCUGUAUUAACAUUCAGCUACAGGUUGACAUUCUCACCUGUACAGUUUUCCUUCCUUAUGAUUUUCCUCCUCUCCUCAAGAAACUGGUAAAGUAAGAAUCUUGUCUCAUUACCAGCUUCCUGAGUAAAAUGGUAUAGCCUAGGGUUGUGAGAUCUACUUAGACAGGCUAUUCUAAAAAUUCUAGUGUAAAGUCAACUACUGUAUGGUUGUGGUAAGCAUGGAAUGGUAUGUUGUUACAGUGAUUCUAAACAGUACAGGUCCAUGUAUCCACUUCAAAUCACUUGUGGGUAAUCUAAAGAGUCUAAUAAUGAAUUCUAUGACAUGUUGCAAUUAUAGGGAAUAUCUUGUCAUGAACUGGUAUAUGUCUAAGGAGACUUUUAUUGUGUGAAGGAAGAUCAGAUAAAAGGCAAAGGAAGAGACAGCAGCAACUACAAUUCCAUUUUCAUUUGUGCCACAUGAUUUAUUGAAGGAAGGCUUAUGUCACAGCAGAAAAUCGUGGAAAGGCUUGUUGCAGUUCACUCUGUCUGUCUAGUGCUUAAUCAUAAGCUCCUAUCAUAAGUGAAAAAGAAGCACCCUAAUCAGACACAGGACAACUUCACAUAGCACAGAUAUUCCAAUUACUGAAGCCACGUUAUCUUAUAUUUAGAAUAAUGUUAGCCCACUUAGCCCUUAUGUGAAUGUUUCAUGUAGUGAGGCAAAUUUCAGAGUGAGACACUUGCUGUUAUGGAAUCAAGUGCAACAAUAAUGGUUCAGAGCAGAAGUCAAGAGUAUCAUUGAAGUGACUUCUCUUCUGGUUUCGAUUUUCUUCCCAGAAGAACAAACCAACACCUUUCUGGUGUGAUAUUGAGUUCAUCGUAAGUGGACAAUUACAAUAUUUAUAAAUGUCUUGAUUACAUUCAAAGUCUGUGAAUGACAGAGGAUUAAAGGAAUCGUUAGAACAGUAUGGAACCACUUUAUGUAAAAAAAAUGAUGAUGUCACUUUGUCUGGGCAAUAGGACAACAAGAUCUGGUUAGAUUUCAGGCUGAACAGCACAUCAAGUAUAAUUAAUAGGAAUACAUUUCAGAAUAUACUCUAAAAUUAAGUCUAGAGGAAUCAUGUUGAUAUCCACCUUGGAGCAGAGUGCCAAAGCAAGAGCAGCACAUAAUAUUAAGCAUUGUGACAAAGGUUUUAGUUAUUUGUUUAAGGCUAUUCAGAUGCAAUGUCAGAGAUUUGUUCUGAAUGAACAAUUUUAUUUAGAUACCGUUUGUGUUUACUAAAAAAAAUGGAAGCAUGUGAAUUGAGACAUUUAUAAAACAAAAUGCAUUUAAUCACCCUCUUCUACGUGAACUCUUUGCUCUACUUUGUAAGUUGUAUCAACACAUUAUAUUUAUUUAUCUGAUACCCAUGAUUUUAAAUAUAAUAUUUUUUUGUGACUCAGCGUAAGCUAUUAAAGAGCUAAUUUAAACACAAUUAAUUAUUGAGGAAGUUGUGGCUUACCUUUAGGAUGCUAAUUGAAAGAUGACCUUUUCAUUCAUUCACUUAACUUGAACAGUAUCUCAUUGAGGUGCAUGUUUUUAUUUUCCUAAUUUUCAUAAUCAGUUUAACCUGAGUAUUACCUGAGAUAUAUUUAGUUAUUUUAUUUCAUAUUUUUAUAUAGUUAUACCAGAAAACCUGAAAGAUUUGACUUUCUUUAAAUUAUUAUGAUCUAUUUUUCAUUGUGCAAUAUUCUAUUAAAUUAAUUUGAUUGGAGCAAUGGGUGAAAUAAUGAUUACACUAUUAAUUAACAUGUCUGUAAUGUCAAGAUGUAUAAUAGAUUGCAUAUACAGACUCAAAGGAAUCCAUGUUUAAAAUGGAAUAAAGCAAAAAUGUGAUUCUUUGUUAAAGUAAUUUGCAUAUGUCCGCCCAUAAUCCUUUGCAGUAGUAACAUCAUUGCAAAUUUGUGAUUUCUGUGGGAAAAGCAAGUCUGGUGGCUUGACGGGUGUACAGAUUUUUGUUUAAUAUUAAAUCAAGGCCAUAGUGUGUAAUAUGUUGAAUAACUCUAAUCGCUGUAAAAUCUGGGAUCAAUUAAACAUUUUUAUUUAAGUAUGAUAUGCCUCAUAAACAGGUACUUAUGUACAUAUAUAUAUAUACUUUAAUGGACAUAACUGGUGACUGUGUUGAUUUAUGUUAUACAGAUAUAUUAUACUAUGCUAAGUAGUAAAUAUAGAGAUAAAAGCAUAUGUUGGAAGUGGAGCUGAAAACUUAGGGUUAAACAUUCUAUAUAUUUUACAGGGAUUCAUAAACCUAAAAGCUUUUCACAUGAGACAGCAACAUAUACAAUAGAUAAUGAAAUGACCCAUGUUUGAAUGAACUGAAAAAAGCCUUAAAAACUUAGAGCACAUAAAGUUAUAUUAUCAUACAAAGUGGAUGCAUUAACCUAUUUAUGUUUAAUUCAUGGAUUUGGCAUUUGAAUAGCCAAGAAAACAGUUGUUGGGCUUAGUACUAAACACGUAACAAAUGUAAGAUACACCUCAUAAAAGUUGCCAGUCCCUGUACUGGUCACUUAUAUUUUCUGUGUAUACACAUAUUAUGAAAAACAAUCCAAGCACCAUAACAACUACAGCCACAUAGUGUCUUGGCACUAUCCCACAAUAAGUAGUCAAACCAUUAUAGUACAGUUUUUUGCCACCCUAGGCAAACAAAAAUUUGCUGCCCCCCCAUAUGCUCUGCCCACCAUGUAACAUUACAAUGCCCCAGCCAUAUGAUCUGCCAUAUGAGCCAACGCCAGUGGCGUGUGUGUUUACAUUAAAAAGCCUGCAGGGACAGGCUAUAGACACCAGAACCACUACAUUAAGCUGUAGUGGUUCUGGUGACUAUAGUGACCUUUCAAUGUGAGGUAAAUUAGAGAUAAGUGCCACUAAUAAUAUACUGGAUUGCCUACUUACCACCAGAUGAGGACAAGAGGAUGAUGAUGGGCUCAGGCUGCAGUCUGGCUCCACUGGUCUGGUGUUAAAACAGGCUCUCUGGAGGCAGUGCUCACAAACAUCAAUGAACAGGAAGCAACUCUGGGCCUGACCGUGAGUAUGCCUACAAGGCCCACCCAUGAGUUUGCUCACAGGGAGUGGGGAGGUAAAUUAGAGAUAACUGCCACUAAUAAUAUACUGGAUUGCCUACUUACCACCAGAUGAGGACAAGAGGAUGAUGAUGGGCUCAGGCUGGAGUCUGGCUCCACUGGUCUGGUGUUAAAACAGGCUCUCUGGAGGCAGUGCUCACAAACAUCAAUGAACAGGAAGCAACUCUGGGCCUGACCGUGAGUAUGCCUACAAGGCCCACCCAUGAGUUUGCUCACAGGGAGUGGAGUGUAUGUGUGUAGGGGAUGUGUUAUGUGUUAUUGUAGAGGAUGUAAUGUGUGUGUUCUUAUGGAAUGUAGUGUAUAGGGAUACUAGUUUGUGUAAGGGAUGUAGUGUGUGUGUGUAAGGGAUGCAUUGUGUGAAUCUGUGUUUGUAUGUGUGUUUCUGUGUAUAUGUGUGUUUGUGAGGUAUGCAUUGUGUGUGUGUGUGUGUAAGGGAAGCAUGGUGUGUUUCUGUGUAUGAUGCAUUGUAUGUUUCAGUGUGCCUGUAUGUGAGUAGGGAUGCAUUGUAUGUUUCUGUGCAUGUGUGUGUAGGCAUGCGUUGUGUGCUUCUAUGUAUGUGUAAGGAUGCAUUGUGUAUGUCUUUAGUGUGAGGAGAGGGUUUGUAGGGUAGGGUAGGGGCUGAUUUUAAUUUUUUUUAUAUUUUGUUAAUAUAUUUUGUUAAUAUAUUUUUUCUUAAAGUUUUUUGUCUUACACCCCCCUUUAGUGUAUCUCUUACAAGCCCCUUGUGUGUCUCUUAUCCCCCCUCCUCUUUGUAAGCUUCUGUAUCCUCCAAACCACUUGAUGUGUCUUACUCCCCCAGCCCCUUUGUGUCUUACUCUUCCCAGCUCCUUGCUGUGUCUCUUUUCCCCUCUGGCCCCUCUGUGUGUCUCCCUCACAAGCGACUCUGCGUGUCUCUAACCUUAGCCUCUCUGUGUGUCUCUGUCUCCCCUACCAGCCCUUCUGUGCUUCUCUUUCACCCCUUCCUCAGCCUCUCUGUGUGUCUUACACUCCCUUAAUGAUCUCUACCACUUCCCCCGUCCCUUAGUGGUCUCAUCUUCACUUCUCCUCCUGUCCUCCUGUCCCUUAGAGGUCUCCCCUCUGCUCCUGCCCCUUUGUGCUCUCCUAUCCAUUACUGCUCUCCCCUCCCAUCCCUCAGUGAUCUCACCUGCACCCUGUCCCUUUGUGAUCUCCCCUGCCCCUUAGUGAUCUCCCCUGCCCUCAUGAUCCCAUGAUCCCAUGUGCCCCCCUGUCCCUUAGUGCUCUCCACUUCCCUCCUGUCCCUUAGUGAUCUCCUCUCCCCUCCCCUCCUGACCCUUAUUGCUCUCCUCUGCCCCCAAUUCCUUAAUGCUCCCCCUGACCCUUAGUGAUCUCCCCUGCACCCCCCAUUCCCAUAGUGCUCUCCCUCCCCCUGUCCCUUAGAGUCUCCCCCUUUACCCACCUUUCCUUUAUUGGUGUGUCCCCCAUCUUUCCCUUAGUAGUCUCCCCACCCCCAUCUUUCCCUUAGUAGUCUCUACCCACCUCCAUCUUUCCCUUAGUGGUAUCCCCCUGAUCUUUCUCUUAGUGGUCUCUCCUCUCCCCUUCUCCCCAUCUUUCCCUUAGUGGUCAAUUCUCAUACCCCCCCCAUCUUUCCUUGUAGUAGUCUCUCUCACCCCAUCUGUCCCUUAGUGGUGCCUGCCCCCAUGUAGUGCUGUCUCCCCCCAGUGUUCCUUAGAGCUGUCUCUCCCCACCCAGUGUCCCUUCGUGCUGUCUCUCCCCAGUGUCCCUUAGUGCUGUCUGCUCCCCAGUGUCCUGUAGUGCUGCCCCCCCAGUGUCCCCUAUUGCUGUCUCCCCCAGUGUCCCUUAGUGCUGUCCCCGUGUCCUUAAUGCUGUCUCUCCCCCAGUGUCCCUUGGGUGCUGUGUCUCCCUCCCAUUGUCCACUAGUGCUGUCUCCCCAGUGUCCCUUAGUGCUGCCCCAUUGUCCUUAGUGUGGUCUCCCCCCAGUGUUCCUUAGUGCUGUCUCUCCCCAUGUCCUUGGUGCUCUCUCCCCAGUGUCGCUUAGUGCCAUCCCCCCUCCCUUCCCUGGUGUGCCUCCUACCUCUUUGUAGCGUGGCCGGACGGUACAGACCACAGUACAGGAGUUCUGUUUCCUGUACCUGGCCGGACUGACUGGAAGUGCUCAAUCCGGCCGGGUACAGAAAACAAAACUCCUGUACUGUAGGCUGCGCUGCCCAGCCAUGCUACACUGAGUGACCCGGUAGGAGGGAGCGCUGUGCGUUUUCCUCCUACCAGGUUACUUAAAUAUGGCACCCCCUGGCUGGUGCACCCUAGGCGACUGCCUAAGUCGCAUUUAGGACGCGCCGGCCCUGACUACUAUAGUCAGGGUUAUAGUGCUUGGAGUGUUUCUUUAAUAUGAGUCAAUAUUAUUUGAAAAAAAAAAGCCUUUAACAGUAGUGUUUUGUAUAUAACAUUUAAAUUAAACCUCUUCCUAAAUCAUUUAAUGUCAUUGGAUGAUCUGUAAGAAUGUGAUUUUCCGUACAUAAUAAACACAACCAAAUUACAACAAAAAUAAUAACAUGCAAUAUAAAUGCUGUAUUGAGAACUAAUUAAGUCUCUAUUAUAAAUAUGGAAAUAUGGCUCUUGAAAACUUGUUUAGAUUUCAUUAUGUACAGAUUGUUGCUGAAUACAGGUUCACCUAAUUUUAUUUAUUUUUUUUAUCUCGUAAAGCAAUGAGAAAACGGGAGCACAUAUUGCAAGAUGUUUUAAAUGAAAAGUAAGAGUGUUUUCUGUUAUCUACAGAUGUUCUGCUCAUAUAGUUGGCAGAAUAGAACUUGUUCCAGUAAUGUUUAGUGAACUGCUGUACGAAGGAAUUUUAACUUGUUUAAAAACAAAUUUGCAUAUUGUUAAUUUACAGUUCUUGUCAAGUUAAAUUAAGUGGAUCAAAACUCCUUAGUGUAUUUUAUACUUAGUUAUAAUUUCCAAGGUGACAUCAUAAUGAAGUGUAGAAGUGGCAGACAAGGGUGGCUCAUAUGUGAGUUGAUACUGUAUAGUUUCACAGGUAGCAGUGUCUUUUCUAACUCUAUAUUUUUUACAUUAACUGCUUGCAACUUCACCUUGUCAAGAAUUGUUAUCAAAGCAGCAUUCCUUGUAUUCUUCAGCAUGCUUGAAAAAAAGAACAGUGUUCUAUGGAAUGUAAUAAGAAAAAUGUUUGACUGGUAAUUACAAGUUUAGCUUUUGCUGUUUUUCAAUUAGCUUUGGAUGUUAUUAUUUAAUAUAAUAGUCGAUAAUACUUAGUUUGUUGACUUUAGAUGGCUGAAACGCUAGACAGAGGUUUAGAUAUUAAAGAUACUGUAAUCUGAGCACUAACCUCUGACAUAUCUUUUCAGCAUAAGGCAAUUUGGGGAAGACCUUGCAAGAGAGUUAUGUUUACCAAAUCAUCUUUUGCACAGACUCUAUUCCUAUUGUUUCACAGAGUUUGACUGUGGACAUCUUUAUGCUUUCAAUGAGCAUGUCCAGUGUGUUAAGAAACCCCAUAUGAUAACAGUGAGUCAAUGCCUUCCUAUGGGGAGGCCUAAUGCGCAUACGGUGCUUGCCACUCAAGGCCCAGAGGAGGAGGGCUGAAAGCUAGCCGGAGGCAUGGGUGGGUGUGGUGGGUGUAGGUGUCACAAGUUGGGGUGUCACUUAGGUUAGAGGUGGGGUGGGGUCAUAUAAAGAGCAGUCAUUUUGUCCCCUUACCUCAGCCAUCUUACAAAUAACGGCUGGUAACAUCUUCCCUCCCACCCUUUGUUGCUUGUUUUCCAUUGCGUAUCACUAAUUCUCUUUCUUGUCACAGCUGGCGGGUAUGGUCCUUGCCGAACCAGUUGGGAAAGGAGUACACUGGAAGAAGGAAUGCUGGGUCUGGUCCCUCCCCUAACCUCAGAAAAUGUUUGGUAAUUGGGCGUGCCCUCCGUGCCAGGAAAGGCGGCCAGGGGUUGGCAUGGGGUAUUGGAAGGCCAAGGUGAAGGCCAGUUAUCUCGGACGAGGGGGGAGGGCAGGCCCCGAAAAGGGGGUACUCUAGAGUUGUUUGGUCCGGUUGGCAAGGACGAGUUUGAGUUACAUUAUGCUUAUAUUAAAG
Molecule: long non-coding RNA, 43080 nt
Filed under: Pelobates cultripes (western spadefoot toad)
Lineage: Eukaryota; Metazoa; Chordata; Amphibia; Anura; Pelobatidae
Source: RNAcentral